RNAcentral lists this ribosomal RNA (801 nucleotides) under uncultured bacterium. Its description in RNAcentral is "bacterial SSU rRNA". It matches the Rfam family "Bacterial small subunit ribosomal RNA", at positions 64 to 879 of the family's 1533-position model. The record is from RNAcentral.
GAACGGUAACGCGGAGAGCUUGCUCUCUGGCGACGAGUGGCGGACGGGUGAGUAAUACUUAGGAAUCUACCCAGUAGUGGGGGACAACAUUCGGAAACGGAUGCUAAUACCGCAUACGCACUACGGUGGAAAGUGGGGGACCUUCGGGCCUCACGCUAUUGGAUGAGCCUAAGUCGGAUUAGCUUGUUGGUGAGGUAAGGGCUCACCAAGGCGGCGAUCGAUAGCCGGUCUGAGAGGACGGACGGCCACACUGGGACUGAGACACGGCCCAGACUCCUACGGGAGGCAGCAGUGGGGAAUUUUGGGCAAUGGGCGAAAGCCUGACCCAGCAACGCCGCGUGGAGGACGAAGGUCUUCGGGUCGUAAACUCCUGUCCAGAAGGACGAAGCAAGUGACGGUACUUCUGGAGGAAGCCCCGGCUAACUCCGUGCCAGCAGCCGCGGUAAUACGGAGGGGGCUAGCGUUGUUCGGAAUUACUGGGCGUAAAGCGCGCGUAGGCGGACUAUUAAGUCAGGGGUGAAAUCCCGGGGCUCAACCCCGGAACUGCCUUUGAUACUGGUAGUCUUGAGUUCGAGAGAGGUGAGUGGAAUUCCGAGUGUAGAGGUGAAAUUCGUAGAUAUUCGGAGGAACACCAGUGGCGAAGGCGGCUCACUGGCUCGAUACUGACGCUGAGGUGCGAAAGUGUGGGGAGCAAACAGGAUUAGAUACCCUGGUAGUCCACACCGUAAACGAUGAAUGCCAGACGUCGGGCAGCAUGCUGUUCGGUGUCACACCUAACGGAUUAAGCAUUCCGCCUGGGGA